AUACAAGAAGAGGGCAACGCAGGACCGGGGGAACCCGGAGAAUGCGAGUCAACAAGCUUUUUGGAGCAAGGGCGAAGAGUAAGCGUUCAAGUGACAAAGGGCAGACGGGGAAUGCCUAGGCAGCAGAAGGCGAAGAAGGACGUGGCGAGCUGCGAAAAGCUUCGGGGAGCCGCUCACAGGCGUUGAUCCGGAGGAAUCCGAAUGGGGGAACCCCACUGGGGGAAUGCCCAGUGAGCCUUGCCUGAAUUCAUAGGGCAAGGCGGCAAACCCGGGGAAGUG
RNAcentral lists this ribosomal RNA (279 nucleotides) under uncultured bacterium. RNAcentral's name for it is "partial 16S ribosomal RNA". The stretch from base 85 to 279 matches the Rfam family "Bacterial large subunit ribosomal RNA", at positions 1 to 195 of the family's 2925-position model. The record is from RNAcentral.